Molecule: unclassified non-coding RNA, 138 nt
Filed under: uncultured Sordariales
Lineage: Eukaryota; Fungi; Ascomycota; Sordariomycetes; Sordariales
Description: sequence contains ITS1
Source: RNAcentral
CCGAGUUUUAUACACUCAGACCCGACGCGAACCCGAAACUGUUGCUUCGGCGGGCUGCCCGGCGGGCGCCCGCCGGAGGUUUAGGCUCUUAGGCUCUAUUAGAUCUACGUCGUCUGAAUUACGCUUCUAAACUAGUCA